This 519-nucleotide long non-coding RNA is filed under the name Malus domestica (apple). RNAcentral describes it as "long non-coding RNA (MDOM_LNC009662)". The record is from RNAcentral. Lineage: Eukaryota; Viridiplantae; Streptophyta; Magnoliopsida; Rosales; Rosaceae.
AAGAAGAGACCCCCAAGGAACAACCUUCAAAGGAGGAGCCACCAAAGGUGCAAGAGCCCAAAGAGGAGCCACCGAAAGUGAAUCCUCCCAAAGAGGAGCCACAAAAGGUGCAACCUCCCAAAGAGGAGUUACCAAAGGAGCAACCUUCAAAAGAUGAGCCACCCAAAGAACAACCUUCAAAGGAGGAGCUACCAAAGGUGCAAGAGCCCAAAGAGGAGCCACCGAAAGUGAAACCUCCCAAAGAGGAGCCACCAAAGGUGCAACCUCCCAAAGAGGAGUUACCAAAUAAGCAACCUUCAAAAGAUGAGCCACCCAAAGAACAACCUUCAAAGGAGGAACCACCCAAGGCACAACCGCCUAAAGAAGAAGCACCGGCUCCAGAGUCCGAGGUUCCAAUUUUUCCUUCACCAAUUGUUGAAGCCCCUCCACCAGAACCCUUUGGGCAAAGUCCCGUCGUUCAAAUCCACCCUCAACCACCACUAGUUCAUUCCCCUCUACCAGUUGUAGUCUCGCCACCAC